This is a long non-coding RNA of Nasonia vitripennis (jewel wasp), 346 nucleotides long. RefSeq lists it as uncharacterized. The transcript has 3 exons. The record is from RefSeq and is a predicted model, not a curated record. Lineage: Eukaryota; Metazoa; Arthropoda; Insecta; Hymenoptera; Pteromalidae.
UUUAUGUGUACAAUAAGUAUGGUGUCCACUAUAUCAGUUUUCAACUUAUUCUAACCUCUUUCCCAUCAUGCUUCCACAGUUAACCUUUUAACUAAAAUUUGGAUUGAAGAAUAACGGUACUCUCUAUGUCCUACAAAAUACAAAAUUGUAAGGUUUUCUGUCUUUGAAUAAAGCUAAUGAUAUAAUAUUAAUGAAGUGUGAUAUUUAACAUCCCUAAGUAAUUAUAACUGAUUAUUGCAGUUUAGUGAAAUUUGUUAUUAUGACUGAUCAUAGUAUUACUGAACUUUGAUAAAAUUACUGUAAUAAUUGUCACAAUGUAACAAUAAAAUAAAUAAUUUCAAUUUUU